Molecule: microRNA precursor, 440 nt
Filed under: Gossypium raimondii (Peruvian cotton)
Lineage: Eukaryota; Viridiplantae; Streptophyta; Magnoliopsida; Malvales; Malvaceae
Description: miR8674c stem-loop (gra-MIR8674c)
Source: miRBase by way of RNAcentral
UGAAACAAAGACGCCACAUUAUCUUGUAUCCCUUACCAAUUAUUUAAUGCCAUUUCAACAUCUUUUUCUAUGUCAUUGACACAUCAUUUUGGUGAUUUUUUUAACCUGAACCCUAAACUAUGGAUCCUGAACCUUGAACCCUAAACCAUGGACCCUGGACCUAGGGACCCUGUACCUUGGACCCAAGGUUUAGGGUCGAGGUUGAGAUUAGGGUUCAAAAUCCAAAGUUUAGGGUUUAGCAUCCAAGGUUCAAGGUUUGGGGUCCAAGGUCGAAGGUUUAAGAUUCAGGGUCCAGGGUUCAAGGUCUAGAGUUCAAGGUCUAGGAUCGAUGUUUCAAGUUAAAAAUUACCAAAAUGAUGUGUCAAUGACAUGGAAAAAGAUGUUGAAAUGGCAUUAAAUAAUUGGUAAGGGAUACAGGAUGAUGUGGCAUUAAAUAAUUA